This 74-nucleotide transfer RNA is filed under the name Caulobacteraceae bacterium. Its description in RNAcentral is "tRNA-Lys". It matches the Rfam family "tRNA". From Rfam's summary of the family: Transfer RNA (tRNA) molecules are approximately 80 nucleotides in length. Their secondary structure includes four short double-helical elements and three loops (D, anti-codon, and T loops). Further hydrogen bonds mediate the characteristic L-shaped molecular structure. tRNAs have two regions of fundamental functional importance: the anti-codon, which is responsible for specific mRNA codon recognition, and the 3' end, to which the tRNAs corresponding amino acid is attached (by aminoacyl-tRNA synthetases). tRNAs cope with the degeneracy of the genetic code in two manners: having more than one tRNA (with a specific anti-codon) for a particular amino acid; and 'wobble' base-pairing, i.e. permitting non-standard base-pairing at the 3rd anti-codon position. Lineage: Bacteria; Pseudomonadati; Pseudomonadota; Alphaproteobacteria; Caulobacterales; Caulobacteraceae. The record is from RNAcentral.
GCGGGGGUAGCUCGAUUGGACAGAGCAGCGGACUCUUAAUCCGUUGGUUACGGGUUCAACUCCCGUCCCCCGCA